AAACCACUCACAGGUGAAGUGAAUAGCAGAUUUUAUCAUUUCAAGGGCACCAAUAAAAGGGAAGGGUAUUGGAGGCAGCAAGUGAGCAGUCAGUUUUUCAACUGCAUGUGUUGAAAGCAGAAAAAUUGGCAAGCAAAAAGAUCUGAGUGACUUUGACAAGGGCCAAAAAGUGAUGGCUAGAUGACUGGGUCAGAGCAUGUCCAAAACAGACAAUCUCGUGUGGUAAGUUCCUACCAAAAAUGAUGCAAGGAAGGACAACUGAACUCUUGUCUGUAUCCCAAAUUGCUGGAAAAAAACAUGAUGCUGUCCAUAAUAGAAAGGUGUUAGAACACCCAUAGUAUCAGUUAAUUCGUAUAAGGCUGCAUAGCCGUAGACUUGUCAGAGUGCCCAUGAGCACUCCUGUCCACCGGCAAAAACGACUUAUGCGGAUGUGUCAGAACUGGACCACUGAGCAAUGGAAGAAUGUUUGAAGAUGUGAGGAAAGGAAUGCAGC
Molecule: non-coding RNA, 493 nt
Organism: Pelobates cultripes (western spadefoot toad)
Lineage: Eukaryota; Metazoa; Chordata; Amphibia; Anura; Pelobatidae
Source: the annotation of a GenBank genome assembly